GACAGAGGGUGCAAACGUUGUUCGGAUUUACUGGGCGUAAAGCGUGUGUAGGCGGCUUCGCAAGUUGGAUGUGAAAUCCCACGGCUCAACCGUGGACGUGCAUCCAAAACUGCGUCGCUAGAGUCUCGGAGAGGAAGGUGGAAUGCUUGGUGUAGAGGUGAAAUUCGUAGAUAUCAAGCAGAACACCUGCGGCGAAGGCGGCCUUCUGGACGAUGACUGACGCUGAGACACGAAAGUGUGGGGAGCAAACAGG
This 253-nucleotide ribosomal RNA is filed under the name uncultured bacterium. RNAcentral describes it as "partial 16S ribosomal RNA". It matches the Rfam family "Bacterial small subunit ribosomal RNA", at positions 524 to 776 of the family's 1533-position model. The record is from RNAcentral.